Molecule: ribosomal RNA, 387 nt
Filed under: uncultured bacterium
Lineage: Bacteria
Description: bacterial SSU rRNA
Rfam family: Bacterial small subunit ribosomal RNA
Source: RNAcentral
AUUGAACGCUGGCGGCAUGCCUUACACAUGCAAGUCGAACGGCAGCAUGGGGGCAACCCUGGUGGCGAGUGGCGAACGGGUGAGUAAUACAUCGGAACGUGCCCAGUAGUGGGGGAUAGCCCGGCGAAAGCCGGAUUAAUACCGCAUACGACCUACGGGUGAAAGCGGGGGAUCGCAAGACCUCGCGCUAUCGGAGCGGCCGAUGUCAGAUUAGGUUGUUGGUGGGGUAAAAGCCCACCAAGCCGACGAUCUGUAGCUGGUCUGAGAGGACGACCAGCCACACUGGGACUGAGACACGGCCCAGACUCCUACGGGAGGCAGCAGUGGGGAAUUUUGGACAAUGGGCGCAAGCCUGAUCCAGCCAUGCCGCGUGCGGGAAGAAGGCCU